This 1032-nucleotide long non-coding RNA is filed under the name Panicum hallii. RNAcentral's name for it is "long non-coding RNA (PHAL_LNC000404)". Lineage: Eukaryota; Viridiplantae; Streptophyta; Magnoliopsida; Poales; Poaceae. The record is from RNAcentral.
CACCCACCGGAAUAAGAGGGGAGCGUUAAUUCCGGGUGGUGCCAACUACCGGGACAAAAAAAACUGGAAUUUUUUUUUCACGCAUGUGCAUCUACUUAACUCUCUCUCGUCUCACGAUCUCUCUCCCAGGCCACAUCUUUCCUUUGUUUCUUGCGCUGCCUUAUCCUCUUCCCUCUCGAUCUCUCUCCCUUUUCUUCCACGCCAGAUCGGGCACCCAACGGCCAACUAGGCGAGUGGCGACGCUGCGGUGCGGGCCCGCGGCGAGCUGAGCAGCGCAGCGGCGGCUUGAGCCCGCAGCGGCGGUUGGGGCCGCGGUGAGCGGCGGUGCGCGGCAGUGGCUCGGGCCCGUGGCGAGCGUCGCGGAAUGGCGGCGGCUGGGCCCUGGCGGGCGCCGGCGGGGGUGGCGCGGCCAGGCCCCAGCGCGCGGUCGCACGGCCUAGCCCCGGCGAGCGGCGCCGCACAACGGCGGCUGGGCCCCAGCGGGCACCGGCGGGGCGCGCACAGCCAGGCCCAGCAUGCGGCGGCGCGGCCUAGCCCCGGCGAGCGGCGCUGCGCGGUGGCGGCUGGGCCUCGGCAGGCACCGGCGGGGCGGCAUGGCUAGGCCCCAGCGUGCAGCGGCGCGGCCAGGCCCGGUGGGGGCUGCGGAUCCUAGCGCCGGUGGGCGGCGGCGCGCAAGGGCGAGCUUGUUUUUUACUUUUUUUUUCCAAAUAUGUAUAUAUGUCCGGGAUUCAUCCGUGAAUGAUUCCUUGAUGAUUGUGAUUGAUUUUGUGAUUGCAAUUUGAAGAAAUAUUUGGAUUCGGAGAAGCUGGCCUACGAACGCGAGCUGGCGAGCCGAUUUUUUUUCUGAAAAAUUUCAUUAGUUUCGGUUGCAUAGCUGCCGGGAUAAAAGGGUCAGACACGUUAGUCUGGAUAGAUAGUUCCGGUUGGGAAACCGGGACUAAUGGACGAUUUUGUACUAGUGAUAGAAGAAAAAUUUUAAAUAAUGAGUGGUAACAUCUAACGGUACUAAAUGGUUACGAUCACAAUUGUUAU